CGCCUUCCGAUCAAUAAAUAUGAAAGGUCCUGCCUGCCCAGUGAUAUUUUUCAACGGCCGCGGUAUUAUGACCGUGCAAAGGUAGCAUAAUCACUUGUCUUUUAAAUUAAGACCAGUAUGAAUGGCAAGACGAGAGCAUAACUGUCUCCUUAAGUUAGUCAAUGAAAUUAAUAUUCCCGUGCAGAAGCGGAGAUAAAAAUAUAAGACGAGAAGACCCUGUGGAGCUUAUAAAAAAAGCUAUAUAGACAUCUACAAUAGCCUAUAAUUUAGGUUGGGGCGACCAUGAGGUAAAAUAAAACCCUCAAGACAACAACUAGAAGGACACUUCAAACAAAAAGUAAUAUUUAUAAUGACCCAUUAAUGAGCAACGAACCAAGUUACCCCAGGGAUAACAGCGCAAUCCAUCUCCAGAGCCCAUAUCGACAAAUGGGUUUACGACCUCGAUGUUGGAUCAGGACCCCCUAAUGGUGCAACAACUAUUAAAGGUUCGUUUGUUCAACGAUUAAAGUCCU
Molecule: ribosomal RNA, 512 nt
Filed under: Chiropterotriton chondrostega (gristle-headed splayfoot salamander)
Lineage: Eukaryota; Metazoa; Chordata; Amphibia; Caudata; Plethodontidae
Description: partial 16S ribosomal RNA
Rfam family: Bacterial large subunit ribosomal RNA
Source: RNAcentral